CCUACGGGUGUGCUGCAGUGGGGAAUAUUGGACAAUGGGCGAAAGCCUGAUCCAGCCAUGCCGCGUGUGUGAAGAAGGCCUUCGGGUUGUAAAGCACUUUCAGUGGGGAAGAAAGCCUUGGGGCUAAUACCCUCGAGGAAGGACAUCACCCACAGAAGAAGCACCGGCUAACUCCGUGCCAGCAGCCGCGGUAAUACGGAGGGUGCGAGCGUUAAUCGGAAUUACUGGGCGUAAAGCGCGCGUAGGCGGUCUGAUAAGCCGGUUGUGAAAGCCCCGGGCUCAACCUGGGAACGGCAUCCGGAACUGUCAGGCUAGAGUGCAGGAGAGGAAGGUAGAAUUCCCGGUGUAGCGGUGAAAUGCGUAGAGAUCGGGAGGAAUACCAGUGGCGAAGGCGGCCUUCUGGACUGACACUGACGCUGAGGUGCGAAAGCGUGGGUAGCAAACAGGAUUAGAUACCCGAGUAGUC
Molecule: ribosomal RNA, 466 nt
Filed under: Vreelandella stevensii
Lineage: Bacteria; Pseudomonadati; Pseudomonadota; Gammaproteobacteria; Oceanospirillales; Halomonadaceae
Description: partial 16S ribosomal RNA
Rfam family: Bacterial small subunit ribosomal RNA
Source: RNAcentral